RNAcentral lists this transfer RNA (71 nucleotides) under Lepidoblepharon ophthalmolepis. RNAcentral's name for it is "tRNA-Gln". It matches the Rfam family "tRNA". Rfam says of the family: Transfer RNA (tRNA) molecules are approximately 80 nucleotides in length. Lineage: Eukaryota; Metazoa; Chordata; Actinopteri; Pleuronectiformes; Citharidae. The record is from RNAcentral.
UAGGAAGUGGUGUAGUGGAAGCACUAAGAGUUUUGAUCUCUUUAGGGAGGGUUCGAAUCCCUUUUUCCUAA